This 164-nucleotide small nuclear RNA is filed under the name Oncorhynchus kisutch (coho salmon). RNAcentral describes it as "U1 spliceosomal RNA (ENSOKIG00005035934.1)". It matches the Rfam family "U1 spliceosomal RNA". Rfam says of the family: U1 is a small nuclear RNA (snRNA) component of the spliceosome (involved in pre-mRNA splicing). The record is from Rfam by way of RNAcentral. Lineage: Eukaryota; Metazoa; Chordata; Actinopteri; Salmoniformes; Salmonidae.
AUACUUACCUGCAAGGGAGAUACUGUGAUCAAGAAGGCAGUUCACGCCAGGGCGAGGCUCAGCCAUUGCACUCCGGCUGUGCUGACCCCUGCGAAUUUCCCAAAUGUGGAAAUCUCGAUUGCAUAAUUUAUGGUAGUGGGGGACUGCGUUCGCGCUCUCCCCUG